AUUGUGAACAUGGCCAGCCCUGACUCAACCCGAUAAGGCCUCCAUGUCAACUUUUAAGAUUCCGGCGGAUGGGCGUUGACCUAUGCUUGUCUUUCAGCUGCUGAUGAGAAGCCUCUAAAGUCUUUACAGAAAAGUGACUUAUUCACAAUUGGUUUCCAGCGUGUGAGAGUGAACCAGCACAAGCAGUGGGAAGCAGCAAAGGGAGAGGGAGAAGCAGGCUCUCCUCUGAGCGGGGACUGA
This 240-nucleotide long non-coding RNA is filed under the name Mustela putorius furo (domestic ferret). RNAcentral describes it as "lncRNA (ENSMPUG00000030122.1)". Lineage: Eukaryota; Metazoa; Chordata; Mammalia; Carnivora; Mustelidae. The record is from RNAcentral.